AUCCCUAGUACGGCGAGUGAGCGGGAGAGCUCAAAUUUGAAAUCUGGCAGUCUUCGAUUGUCCGAGUUGUAAUCUAUAGAGGCGUUUUCCGUGCCGGACCGUGUCCAAGUCUCCUGGAAAGGAGUAUCAAAGAGGGUGAUAAUCCCGUACUUAACACGACCACCGGUGCUCUGUGAUACGUCUUCUACGAGUCGAGUUGUUUGGGAAUGCAGCUCAAAAUGGGUGGUGAAUUCCAUCUAAAGCUAAAUAUUGGCGAGAGACCGAUAGCGAACAAGUACCGUGAGGGAAAGAUGAAAAGCACUUUGGAAAGAGAGUUAAACAGUACGUGAAAUUGUUGAAAGGGAAACGAUUGAAGUCAGUCGUGUUCUUUGGAUUCAGCCAGUUCUGCUGGUCUACUUCCUUGGAACGGGUCAACAUCAGUUUUGUCCGGUGGAUAAAGGUAGUAGGAAUGUGACUUCUCCGGAAGUGUUAUAGCCUAUUAUCACAUACACUGGGUGAGACUGAGGACUGCAGCUCGCCUUUAUGGCCGGCCUUCGGGCACGUUCGAGCUUAGGAUGUUGACAUAAUGGCUUUAAACGACCCGUCUUGAAA
RNAcentral lists this ribosomal RNA (591 nucleotides) under Trichosporon asahii. Its description in RNAcentral is "eukaryotic LSU rRNA". It matches the Rfam family "Eukaryotic large subunit ribosomal RNA", at positions 74 to 659 of the family's 3401-position model. The record is from RNAcentral. Lineage: Eukaryota; Fungi; Basidiomycota; Tremellomycetes; Trichosporonales; Trichosporonaceae.